UACGGAGGGUGCGAACGUUAAUCGGAAUUACUGGGCGUAAAGAGCGCGCAGGCGGCCGAGUAAGUCGAAUGUGAAAGCCCCCGGCUCAACUGGGGAAGGUCAUUCGAUACUGUUCGGCUUGAAGAUAGGAGAGGGAAGCGGAAUUUCAGGUGUAGUGGUGAAAUGCGUAGAUAUCUGAAGGAACACCAGUGGCGAAAGCGACUUCCUGGACCAAUACUGACGCUCAUGUGCGAAAGCGUGGGGAGCAAACAGG
This 253-nucleotide ribosomal RNA is filed under the name uncultured bacterium. RNAcentral describes it as "partial 16S ribosomal RNA". It matches the Rfam family "Bacterial small subunit ribosomal RNA", at positions 524 to 776 of the family's 1533-position model. The record is from RNAcentral.